Molecule: non-coding RNA, 22 nt
Filed under: Rattus norvegicus (Norway rat)
Lineage: Eukaryota; Metazoa; Chordata; Mammalia; Rodentia; Muridae
Source: RNAcentral
UAUUGAUCUGUCUGCACAAGCC